Molecule: transfer RNA, 69 nt
Filed under: Fritziana sp. 1 MLL-2018
Lineage: Eukaryota; Metazoa; Chordata; Amphibia; Anura; Hemiphractidae
Description: tRNA-Val
Source: RNAcentral
CGAAACAUAGCUUAACCAAAGCACCCCGCCUACACCGGGAAAAUACCUGUGAAACCCGGGUUGUCUCGA